Molecule: ribosomal RNA, 402 nt
Filed under: Bacteroidota bacterium
Lineage: Bacteria; Pseudomonadati; Bacteroidota
Description: Bacteroidetes bacterium partial 16S ribosomal RNA
Rfam family: Bacterial small subunit ribosomal RNA
Source: RNAcentral
UGGGGAAUUUUGCACAAUGGGGGAAACCCUGAUGCAGCGACGCCGCGUGAUUUAGAAGGCCUUCGGGUUGUAAAAAUCUUUUCUAUGGGAAGAAAAUGACAGUACCAUAGGAAUAAGGACCGGCUAAUUACGUGCCAGCAGCCGCGGUAAUACGUAAGGUCCGAGCGUUGUCCGGAAUCAUUGGGCGUAAAGGGUACGUAGGCGGGUAAGCAAGUUAGAAGUGAAAUCCUAUAGCUCAACUAUAGUAAGCUUUUAAAACUGCUCAUCUUGAGGUAUGGAAGGGAAAGUGGAAUUCCUAGUGUAGCGGUGAAAUGCGCAGAUAUUAGGAGGAAUACCGGUGGCGAAGGCCACUUUCUGGCCAUAACCUGACGCUGAGGUACGAAAGCGUGGGUAGCAAACAGG